CCUACGGGAGGCAGCAGUGGGGGAUAUUGCACAAUGGGGGAAACCCUGAUGCAGCGACGCCGCGUGAGCGAAGAAGUAUCUCGGUAUGUAAAGCUCUAUCGGCAGGGAAGAAGAUGACGGUACCUGACUAAGAAGCUCCGGCUAAAUACGUGCCAGCAGCCGCGGUAAU
RNAcentral lists this ribosomal RNA (169 nucleotides) under uncultured rumen bacterium. RNAcentral describes it as "partial 16S ribosomal RNA". It matches the Rfam family "Bacterial small subunit ribosomal RNA", at positions 338 to 524 of the family's 1533-position model. The record is from RNAcentral.